Phyllostomus discolor (pale spear-nosed bat) is the source of this 234-nucleotide long non-coding RNA. RefSeq lists it as uncharacterized. The transcript is spliced from 2 exons. The record is from RefSeq and is a predicted model, not a curated record. Lineage: Eukaryota; Metazoa; Chordata; Mammalia; Chiroptera; Phyllostomidae.
AUUUUAAUAAAAAUUAUUUUAUUUAUAUUGCAAUUUACAGGGUCUGGCAGAAGUCACGCCUGCUUGAGUGUGGCUGGUAGGGGAAUGAUAUUGGUGUAAUAAUUUAUAGUUUUAAUUUGAACAUUUCACCUAAAAUGUCAUAUGGUGUGCUUGAGUGUGAUAUUGUUAUGUAACAGAAUUACACGCUUAUAAUUUGGUAAUAAAAGGGGCAUUAUUUGUGCAAGACCCUGUAUA